RNAcentral lists this transfer RNA (80 nucleotides) under Tequintavirus T5. Its description in RNAcentral is "Escherichia virus T5 tRNA-fMet". Lineage: Duplodnaviria; Heunggongvirae; Uroviricota; Caudoviricetes; Demerecviridae. The record is from RNAcentral.
ACCUUCGCCCACGUCCUUAGCUUGGAUGGAGAAAGAUCGAAUACUCUGAUCGCUAGAGAUGGUCUCUCUAGAUUGGGCGU